RNAcentral lists this ribosomal RNA (266 nucleotides) under Caldicoprobacter faecalis. RNAcentral describes it as "partial 16S ribosomal RNA". It matches the Rfam family "Bacterial small subunit ribosomal RNA", at positions 546 to 812 of the family's 1533-position model. Lineage: Bacteria; Bacillati; Bacillota; Clostridia; Caldicoprobacterales; Caldicoprobacteraceae. The record is from RNAcentral.
CGGAAUUACUGGGCGUAAAGGGUGCGUAGGCGGUCCAUUAAGUCAGGUGUGAAAAACCUGGGCUCAACCGAGGUAUUGCACUUGAAACUGGUGAGCUUGAGUGCAGGAGAGGGAAGUGGAAUUCCUAGUGUAGCGGUGAAAUGCGUAGAUAUUAGGAGGAACACCAGUGGCGAAGGCGGCUUCCUGGACUGUAACUGACGCUGAGGCACGAAAGCGUGGGGAGCAAACAGGAUUAGAUACCCCCGUAGUCACGUCCUGUUCUGAAU